Long non-coding RNA from Lynx canadensis (Canada lynx), 924 nucleotides. RefSeq lists it as uncharacterized. Lineage: Eukaryota; Metazoa; Chordata; Mammalia; Carnivora; Felidae. The record is from RefSeq and is a predicted model, not a curated record. The transcript is spliced from 3 exons.
GGGGAAGCAGGGAAGCGUCGCCAGCCAAUCGCGCGCGUCGCACCCAACGUGGGGUGCUGACGCAACGCGUCCCCGAAGCCUAUAGCAGCAGAGCACCGGACGGACCGUCCUCCCCCUCCUCUCUUACCCCGUUUGCUUCCAUCUCCGCCGUCUCCUCGGUCUCCCCUCCCACCCCUCUACCCCUCCUCCCCCAGCCGCGUCCUCCCGGGCUCGGAGAGGAACUGUUCUUGGAGGAGCCGCGGGACGUCGAAACCAACCAAUGAGAAGAGGCGAGACGCGGAGAUUGGCACUGUGGAUGGGAAGCAUGAAUUACAAACCUCCUCCAUCUGCCACUGGAGACACAGAGAUUAACGUUCUAAUGGGAAGAUGGUCAACAAAAGAGCUACUUGUAGCAUAGGUGAUAAAGACCACUCUGAAGCUUGGGGACUAAGUACCAGGACAUGGCGAAGUUUAAUUAUUUCAGUGAGGAAAAGUGCAAUGGACUUUGGCAGAUAAGUUGCUCUGUCAUACAAGCUGAACUGGUGGCACCAUCUACCCAAAGCCUUCGUGAUUCAGUGGAGUUCUCACAUGAGCUUCUCAGGAACAAGUUCUUUUGGUAAGGCCAGGAUUUUGUCAGAACAUCAGUGCACCUAAUCUUAGGUGCGCUUUCUCAUCUUCCAUCAAUUUUUUCCAGACUUCUUUAUUUGCCCCACUGCUCAAUGACUUUUCUAGUUGCUGGAGGGCACACGAAUGAGAAAGGGAACCUUUGUUGAGGCUUUGGGACAAUGAUGGUUUUUCUACAAUAUUCCAUGAUGAUUUGAAAAAUUAAGAACUCUGUCUACGACAGUGGCACAUUUACAUUACACAUGUUCAGCAAGACUUUUCUUAUUUCCCUCCAGGCUUUCUCCACUCUGCCCUGUGGAUUUCUACAACCUUACUUUCAUA